Molecule: ribosomal RNA, 254 nt
Filed under: uncultured bacterium
Lineage: Bacteria
Description: partial 16S ribosomal RNA
Rfam family: Bacterial small subunit ribosomal RNA
Source: RNAcentral
UGCGGGGGGAGCAAGCGUUGUUCGGAUUUACUGGGCGUAAAGGGCGCGUAGGCGGUCAGCACAAGUCAGUUGUGAAAUCUCCGGGCUUAACUCGGAAAGGUCAACUGAUACUGUGCGACUAGAGUGCGGAAGGGGCAACUGGAAUUCUCGGUGUAGCGGUGAAAUGCGCAGAUAUCAGGAGGAACACCGGUGGCGAAGGCGGGUCUCUGGGCCGUAACUGACGCUGAGGAGCGAAAGCAUGGGGAGCGAACAGG